This is a long non-coding RNA of Herpailurus yagouaroundi (jaguarundi), 2221 nucleotides long. RefSeq lists it as uncharacterized. The record is from RefSeq and is a predicted model, not a curated record. Lineage: Eukaryota; Metazoa; Chordata; Mammalia; Carnivora; Felidae. The transcript has 2 exons.
UCGGACGUGCCUGGAGUGGGCGAAACGAGCGAAGGGGACUCGGCCGCCAUGUUAGGAGUGCUGGGACGAUUCUGCGGAUCCCGGCUGAGGUUUUAGGGAGCUUGCGAGCCGAGUGGUGGUGCAGUGGGGACGAGUCUGUCUACACUGUGAAAGAUGGAAAAUUUCUUUUCCUCCUGAGGGUGUCUGAAGGGUUAAAAAUGCAAUAAUACUUUAUGCUGUUUUUCUCCCUUUUGCACAAUUAUUCUGAAAACAAAACUUGUUACUUUGGGUCAGUAAGGGUAUGCAUUUCACCUCUCUGUUAGUAAUACUACAGGUGAUGAAUGUAUUCUAUCAGGAAAGGCUAAGCAGAGUGAUUAGAAAUGAUAAAAACAUGGUAGAAAUAGUCUUUCAGAUGUAUGCAGCUGACAACUUCAAAAACAUAGAAGAAUGGUCUGCCAUGUUUCUGAGAACAAGUCACAAGAUGAAAGGCUUUAUUUCAUUUUUAACAAAAGUAAUAUGUGUUGGUUUCAUUUAUCCAUACAAUACAAUGGGAAAGACUCAUACAAAUAUUUCUGUUCAGAAAUACUGUCUUUGCAAGUAAUGGUAAGUAUAGGAAAGGGAGCAAAAUGUUUGCUGAUUUCUUUCUGACCUUCAGUACAACUGUAGAAGUGUUUCACUUUUUUUUUUUUAAAUGUUUACUUAUUUUUGAGAGAGAGAAUAUGAGCAGGGGAGGGGCAGAGAGAAUGGGAGACAGGAUCGAAAGCACUGACAGCAGAGAGCCCUGCCGCCUAACCGACUGAGUCAGGUGCCCUUAAGUGUUUUACAUUUAACAGAGAAAAUUGGACAGGUUUGCAUUUAGGCUUAGUUUCAAACUCUUAAAUUAUUUUUAGGGGUUGGUGGUUCACUGGUGUGUCUUAUUUUACAAACCUUUAGUGAAUCUUGUUCGUUGUAGAAGAUAUUUCUUUAUAUAAGCAAUAACAUCCUCAAUCUGAGUUACUAUGGAAGACAAAUUUGCAGGGGCAGGGGGCAGAUUGCUUACAAAUCUUGUAUGUGAGAAACUAGACCUAUAUGAUGCAGUGAUUUCUAUAGUGUAUAAUUUGUCAUAUGUUUCGGUAGUUUGAAGUUUUCCAGGCUUACAUCCAGUGGACAUCUAACCAUAAAGAAAUGAAACAUCUAUUUAAUAUCUUUAAAAAGACUCUGAUUUAACCUUUAACUUUUAGGGGGGAAAAGUCUGCAUCCUUCUUUAGAAAUUUUAUUUACAAAGUUAAUAUUUGAGGAAUUGGACACCAGCUUCUGAAAGAUUAGCCUCAGUGAUCCAGAGAAAGCCCUGGGUUAGGUGAACGUUGAAAAGUGGGAUUAGGAAUGCUUGAAGUGGAUAAAGCAACUUAAGUUCUUUUCAUCUCAGAAAAGAAUUAGGAUAUUGAUUUGUGUUAUAAUUAUAGGUAGCUUAUUAAAGAGUAUGGAGUCAUUUGCUCUUAUGGCAGGGUUUUUUUUCAACAGCUUCAAGUGUCAGGAUCACAUAGAGAACUCUAAAAAUAUAUAGCUGAGAACUCUAAAAUAAAAUAAAAAUAUAUAGAGAACUCUAAAAAUAUAAAAUAAAACAGAUAGUUGUCCACUCAUCUGUUGAAUUGUUGAAUUAUUCUGCUAGGUUGGAACCCAUUGUGUAUUUUUAAAACUAUGAGUGAGUGGACAGUGGUAGGGUAGAGUAGUUCUCUACAUCCCAUAUUUGUGUUUAUUGUGGUGCAUUACACUAGUAAUAAUAAAAGUUUUGGCAAAGAUUACAGGCUUGUUAGUAAUUAUACCCAUAAGUGAAUUCUGAAAAUGUGUAGAUGAGGAAAUGAUCUGGGCAUCAGUCUAUACAUUGGUGAGGGGAGUGGGUUGGGGGAGAUUUAGUUUAGCCUUAUGAGUACCAUGAUAUCUUGAAUUAUCUGGAUAUUUCUUAGAGUUAGAGUUGAGUGUAAUACUAAGAAAGUAAGGAUAAGAGACACUUCUUGAAUAAGAGCUCAUGCUAUCACAAGGUUAUGGUAAAGCUAUUCAGAUUUUUUUUUUUUUUAGAGAGCAGGAGUCUGGAAAAAGGGCAGAGAGAGAAUCCCAAGCAGGCUCCAUGCUGAGCAUGGAACCCAAUGUGGGGCUUGUUCCCACAACCCUAGGAUCAUGACUGGAGCUAAAAUCAAGUCAGGUACUCAACCUGUUGAGCCACCCAGGUGUCCCAAGCUAUUCAAAUAUUUAAAAGAAGUAUUUU